GACGAACGCUGGCGGCGUGCUUAACACAUGCAAGUCGAACGGAAAGGCCCUGCUUUUGUGGGGUGCUCGAGUGGCGAACGGGUGAGUAACACGUGAGUAACCUGCCCUUGACUUUGGGAUAACUUCAGGAAACUGGGGCUAAUACCGGAUAGGAGCUCCUGCUGCAUGGUGGGGGUUGGAAAGUUUCGGCGGUUGGGGAUGGACUCGCGGCUUAUCAGCUUGUUGGUGGGGUAGUGGCUUACCAAGGCUUUGACGGGUAGCCGGCCUGAGAGGGUGACCGGCCACAUUGGGACUGAGAUACGGCCCAGAAUCCUACGGGAGGCAGCAGUGGGGAAUAUUGCACAAUGGGCGGAAGCCUGAUGCAGCAACGCCGCGUGCGGGAUGACGGCCUUCGGGUUGUAAACCGCUUUCGCCUGUGACGAAGAGUGAGUGACGGUAAUGGGUAAAGAAGCACCGGCUAACUACGUG
Molecule: ribosomal RNA, 468 nt
Filed under: uncultured bacterium
Lineage: Bacteria
Description: partial 16S ribosomal RNA
Rfam family: Bacterial small subunit ribosomal RNA
Source: RNAcentral